GACGCGGCUGCAGUUACCGGGUUUCUAAGGCCUCGUGCCCUGACGGGAAGGUGGCGUUGGGGGGCGGCUGGGUUUACCCUUCGAGGUGAGCGCGGCCUUGUUUUCAGGGACGCCCGGACGGGAGGCGUUUGUUGCUUUCGCAGCCGAGUGGUGGAAAUGUAUUGGCUCUUCAGGGCUGGUCUGGUAGUGUCUGGUCCGUUUGGGAGUGUUUUUUUUUUCUGGAUUCUUUUUCAGUUCAAUGGGCCGGUCUGCUGCUCCUCUUGCCCCUCCAAUAUUAUGUUCCCCUUGCUCGAGAUCCCCGAGAGGCAGACCUCAGAGCCAGGAAGGUGGGAGGUCGGAACCCUGGUUCUGGAAGAGGGCCUUGGGCAAGGCGGGAAGGGAUUCUGAAUCUGGCUCCUAUUGUUUUUUAUUUUAAAUGGAGUUGUCUAUUUGGAGUCAAGGCAAGAGUGUUUAGUCUUGGCCCUCCUGUUACAGAGCUCUGAUGGAUUUGUUGACUCCUCUGUGGGAGAAAGGCUCGGCCUGCUAGGUGUUAACGCUAAGCCAGGCUGGAGCUGUGGACGUCAGUUUCCUCAGGUCCGCGCUGUUCACUUCGAACGUGACCUCAAGGUCUGCUCUUCCCUUCCCUUUAGCUGACAAUGUAACAGUGGAAGAAUAAUGAGUCCUAAGAUAACCACUUUUCUGCUCUCAUUCCAGGGGGUGAGAAAAGCAGCUGCUUGAAUAAAAGUCAGUCUGACAGGAACGAUAAUUUUUUUUUCAGUGAAUAUCUUCAGUUACAGAAGACAAAUAGAACUUGACAAUGAUUAUUUAUAGUGCCCUGAAAAAGAAUGGCUGCCAAAGACAAAAGUAGCAUUGCUUCUUUUCUCACCUAACUUUAAACGUCUUACGGGAAGUGCAUUACAGGAAGGCAAUGAACAAAGGCUCAACAUUUCAUAGUAAAGUCAGAUUUUCCACAUUUUAAUUUUAAAAUGACAAGAGCUUGGGAAUCACUGUAUGCUGGUACAAGCUAUAAUGUAGGUGGACCAACUAUAUCUGCCUAUUAGGCCCUAGAAACUGCAUGAUUUCCUAGACCUGCUUCUUGAAGGGCUCCACCCUGAGGCCAGUAGCCCAAUUAAGAAACCAGCAGAUGACAAAUCUUACAACUACUGGCUCUUCCUCUGUUUGUCUGUGUAGUUACAUAUGUGUAUGUAUGUGAUGUUUAUAUAAAAACAGCUCUAAUUAAUUGGCUUCUAAGAAAAAUAAGUGCUUAGAUCAAAUAUUUUUUGAAGAAAAAAGAAAAGCCGUAAAGCCUUUUAGUUCAUGUGACUUUAAUCUUUGAGAAAUAAAAACAGUUUUAAAGAUUAUUGGCAAAAUACAAAUGUCUUGAAAAUGUAAACAUGUAGUCUAAAUUGUGUUCACAUAUUAGGUUUUCUAAAUGCUUUAAGAUCAUGAAUUGCUUCUUUGGCUUUUGAAAAUUGUUCAAGUUGCUUGCUUUACAAUUUGGUGAGGCCUGGGGACAUAUGGAAUUAACCACACCCUUAACUGUUCUGGAAAGGGCCAGGCCUUAUCUGCACCUAGUACGUAAUUAAAAUAACAUACCAGGUUUUACAUUAAAAUUAAAAAUUGCUAACAGUCACCAUUAUAACAUGCAAUUGAGACUACUGAAAAUAGAUUUACAUGCAAGGUGUGUAAGGGAAGUAAAAUGUGUUUUUAGUAAAAGAUUAUAAGAAGGCAUGGGAAUGUAAGUUUUUGCCUAGUUUAGAGGGUUAAAGGACUGUUUCCAGUUAAAUAAGAUAAAGCUAAAGGUCUAAACAAGUUGCAGGAGGUUUGUAAAAAUUAAUCUUACAAAAGAAAUUUUAUGUGAACGUAUUGACUAAAUUCAAAAGGGUAUUUAUUAUAUGUUUUUUCUGUAAAUUGAGCAUUGGAAUAAAAGCACAAGGAUUUCUUAAGGCACUGAUCUGCUCUUUAACAAAAAUUUGUACAGGGUUAUAAAAGGUUUAUAAGAAUCUCACGUCACAGUCAAACUGGUUAAGAUUGGAUAGAAUUAUCUAUGAAGACUCACUAAAAAAAAUGAGGUUGACAUUAAUAGUAGACUAAUGCAAGGGUGAAAUUUGACUUUCUCUCCCUUGAACAAGAUUUUCAUGUAAUGGUAAAAUAUAAUGAAAGAUUUUUUUUUUGCCUUGUGAAUAAACUACC
Long non-coding RNA from Symphalangus syndactylus (siamang), 2172 nucleotides. RefSeq lists it as uncharacterized. Lineage: Eukaryota; Metazoa; Chordata; Mammalia; Primates; Hylobatidae. The record is from RefSeq and is a predicted model, not a curated record.